RNAcentral lists this long non-coding RNA (197 nucleotides) under Chinchilla lanigera (long-tailed chinchilla). RNAcentral's name for it is "lncRNA (ENSCLAG00000029124.1)". The record is from RNAcentral. Lineage: Eukaryota; Metazoa; Chordata; Mammalia; Rodentia; Chinchillidae.
UGGUGGGUGUGGGAGCUGCUGUCCACGGCUCAGAGCCGGGAAGCCAGGAAGAGUCUUCAGGAGCUCACAGGGAAUGCGGCAAAAAUCUACGUGAAGGCGCCACGGCGGAGUCUGUAAACAAGAGCGGCAAUGCCGGGACCCUUGCCGGAGGUGAGAGCAGCCUGCUCGGGGCGGUUAGAGCUGGGAGAAGCCCUGCG